CUGUAUGAUACCCUUUUCUGAGUUGACUAUAAUUAUGGCUUAUUUAUUUUCACAGCUGUGGUGUUUACACUUGGUACUCUUUAAACCAAAUAAAAACUGUUAUAAUUCUUUAUUACAGUUGCACUUGGCACUUUUUUUGAACAUUGCUGUAAAUAAUGUCUUCAGGUCCCUGAUGAAGAUGCAGCUUCACCUGUUGAGCUGGCAAAAGUUCACCUGUUGAGCUGGCAAAAGCUUACAUGGACAAUAGGUCUUCAAAA
RNAcentral lists this long non-coding RNA (257 nucleotides) under Fragaria vesca (wild strawberry). RNAcentral describes it as "long non-coding RNA (FVES_LNC002654)". The record is from RNAcentral. Lineage: Eukaryota; Viridiplantae; Streptophyta; Magnoliopsida; Rosales; Rosaceae.